Magnolia sinica is the source of this 2225-nucleotide long non-coding RNA. RefSeq lists it as uncharacterized. NCBI's taxonomy places the organism in Eukaryota, Viridiplantae, Streptophyta, Magnoliopsida, Magnoliales, Magnoliaceae. The record is from RefSeq and is a predicted model, not a curated record. The transcript has 5 exons.
UAUGUUUUAAAUUUUGAAUAAGAUGUUUAAUGCUGAUAUCAUAUUUUAUUAAUUUCACUUGAGAAAAUUAUGAGAAUUACCAAAUGAUUUUACGUGAGAUACGAAAAUGAUUGUGUGAUUUAUGUAGGAAGGGAGCUGACGUGAAUCGACCAACUUCAUGUGGGUGAGAUCCACACUCUACAUAAGGUGCAACACUAUGCUUGGACCAUUACCCAAAAUCAGAAAACCCAAAGGCCUUCCAUAUAAACAGAAGAUCAGUCCUUUCUCUCUUGUUUAACUUCUGCAAGAAACAACAGUGGGCGGCAUCAGUUCUGGUGGUCAGCCAACUGCUGCUCCCAAUGGUGGAGUUCCAGUACUUUCCAACUAUCAGAAAUCUGCCAUGCCUGGUAUUCCAGAUUCCGAACUCAACCUGCCACUUCCAACUAUGAAUGAUUUAUGGUCUGUUGUUUAUAGGAAGGGAGCUUUGAUUUUUACAGAGGCACCAAUGUUGAGAUAAAAUUGAUCAUCUGGAAUCUAUAGGUUCAAAUGAUCUCCUACAAUCAGUUGUAGUUUAGCUUAACGCCGCUGAGAAAGGACGCCUGCCUGUGUUGAUCUUGAGCAUGAAGGAAAGCAUGCAGCAAAACAGGCCGACUAUCAUAUUUUUGCAUGGGUCUUACAAAACCAAUGAAUGGUUGCAGCCAUUACUCUAAGGUAAAAGUCAAAUGCUACUGAAUUCUCCCAUCUCUUUGUCAUUAUACAGAAUUCAACUUUGAACAUCUAUUUCAACUUUUUAAAACAGUGGGUCACACUAUAGAUGAGUCAUAGCUCAUAACCAAAAAGAUAAAAGAUAAAGACAAAAAAAGAAAGAAAAGAUAACUAAAGGAUGACUAUGACCACCAGUAAGUUAUGUUGAGGAUGCAGGGGAUCCUUAUAGAGAUCAAAUGGAAGAUUGUAUCAGUUUAAUAAUGGAAGAAUUGAAAUCUGGAGGAAUUGCCAACAGUCACUCUUGCAUACCAGGUAAUUCAUUUAAAAUUUUAGCUUUUGGUUUCUAGGUUUGAUUUCCAACUGCCUUUUGCUUCUCAGUUCUUCAGUUUGUUUGCCACUUAUGAGACAUCUAAAUCACCAUCAUCUAAGCCUUAUCCCGACUAAUUGGUGUUGGCUUCUGAGACAUCUAAAUAAAUAGUGAAAAUUACAUAUGUGCUACACCAACCAAGGCUUUAGAACUCGCCAAAACCAAGUGGACUUGGUUUCGCUAAGGAACAGAUUGACAGGUCCCUUUGAAAUAUGUAUGUUUCAGGAUGAGUUGUUGUGUGACAGGUGGCAGUUUUAACUAACAGAGCCGCAAACUCACAUAUUCCUAACUACCCAAGUCUCGGUGAGUUUGGUAUCCCUGAUUCAGUGGUUUGUACAAGAUUUCAUAUAGGUAUUUAGCAAAUUUGAGUUGACUCGGCAUGUUUUCUAGAAUUGUCUUCCAUUUUGGAUUCAACUGUUCUCAGUUGGAUCUCUUUUUCAUGUUUGAAAUUGGCUUUCAUUUUCAUCAGUCUCUCACAGAGUCUCCAUCGUCCUCUUAUGUGCUUAAUGUUGCGAUGUUGCAUCAUCUAGUUAGCAUUAUAUGCCUUUACUUUUCCUUUUUGUUUAUAAACCAUCUUUUGAGAUGGUUGGCUAAGUGUUUAUUUUAUUUUAUUUUAUUUUUUUAUUUUUUUGCAUUGAAUGGUUGGUGUAGACAAUCACUUUUUUAUUUAUUAAUUUUAGUCAUGGUCUCCUCUACAUGCAGCUUCCUACAAUUGCUAUUGAAAAGGUCUUUGUUGCAAACAACACAUCGUGGUCCAAGAUGAAGUCCUAGCUCAUAGGUUGAGCCUUAUUCCCAUCAAAGUUGACCCAAGGCUGUUCGAAUAUGUUUCAGGUACUUCUUCAAGGUCUUUCUUCAAGAGAUUUAAUGUGGAAGGAAGAAACUGUAAUGAAGGUAAAAAAUCCAUGGCCUAAUUUGAUGCUCAUAGCGGGGUGUUGCUGAACCAUUUUGGUUUAACAGAGGCAAGAUUCGAAUGGCUAGGAGCACCAUACAAACCAAUGGAGUUGCUAAAGUCUGAUUGGGCAACAAUUAGAAAGUCUCCACCAUGGGCGAUUGAUUCUUGGUAUGAUGGGAUCGAUGCAUGUACCAUGUUCCGUCAACCAUUUGUGUGUUGACCAUAGUGGAGGUGAGACAGCGACAACCAAACUCUUUGCAAUUCCAUGUUUCACGUUCAACU